This 253-nucleotide ribosomal RNA is filed under the name uncultured prokaryote. RNAcentral describes it as "partial 16S ribosomal RNA". It matches the Rfam family "Bacterial small subunit ribosomal RNA", at positions 524 to 776 of the family's 1533-position model. The record is from RNAcentral.
UACGGGGGGGGCAAGCGUUGUUCGGAAUUACUGGGCGUAAAGGGCUCGUAGGCGGCCAACUAAGUCGGACGUGAAAUCCCUCGGCUUAACCGGGGAACUGCGUCCGAUACUGGAUGGCUUGAGUUUGGGAGAGGGAUGCGGAAUUCCAGGUGUAGCGGUGAAAUGCGUAGAUAUCUGCAGGAACACCGGUGGCGAAGGCGGCUAUCUGGACGACAACUGACGCUGAGGCGCGAAAGCGUGGGGAUCAAACAGG